GCCCUCAUCGUCUAGUGGCCUAGGACGCCGCCCUUUCAAGGCGGUAGCACGGGUUCGAAUCCCGUUGGGGGCACCA
This is a transfer RNA of 76 nucleotides. It matches the Rfam family "tRNA". From Rfam's summary of the family: Transfer RNA (tRNA) molecules are approximately 80 nucleotides in length.